AUCCAGCUGACGAGUCCCACAUAGAACGAAAUGCUCAUCCUAGAU
This is a non-coding RNA of Trichobilharzia regenti, 45 nucleotides long. Lineage: Eukaryota; Metazoa; Platyhelminthes; Trematoda; Strigeidida; Schistosomatidae. The record is from Rfam.